CAGCAGCCGCGGUAAUACGUAGGGUGCAAGCGUUAAUCGGAAUUACUGGGCGUAAAGCGUGCGCAGGCGGUUUUGUAAGACAGAGGUGAAAUCCCCGGGCUCAACCUGGGAACUGCCUUUGUGACUGCAAGGCUAGAGUACGGCAGAGGGGGAUGGAAUUCCGCGUGUAGCAGUGAAAUGCGUAGAUAUGCGGAGGAACACCGAUGGCGAAGGCAAUCCCCUGGGCCUGUACUGACGCUCAUGCACGAAAGCGUGGGGAGCAAACAGGAUUAGAUACCCCAGUAGUCCCUGUCUCUUAUAC
Molecule: ribosomal RNA, 301 nt
Filed under: uncultured bacterium
Lineage: Bacteria
Description: partial 16S ribosomal RNA
Rfam family: Bacterial small subunit ribosomal RNA
Source: RNAcentral